Dermacentor albipictus is the source of this 976-nucleotide non-coding RNA. The record is from RefSeq and is a predicted model, not a curated record. NCBI's taxonomy places the organism in Eukaryota, Metazoa, Arthropoda, Arachnida, Ixodida, Ixodidae.
CUUUUGUGGAGCUGGAGUUCAUCGGAAGUUCUACAGUGCUUGCGCCAGAAAGACGUCGGUGCCUCGGUACCUUUGAGACGAAGGAGCGUUGGCCAAGUCUUUUUGAAAGGCUAUGCAGAUUCUGGAGGCAUCCCUACAUCGAGCAGGAACCUGCUGCACUGCUGGAAGCUGGACAGCACGACAAUAAAGCACGUGAUCUGUGUGCUUUCUCAAAGGUAGACAUCGGCGACGGUGUAUAUGUUGAAAAGGGCCUGCUGAAGAGGCUGCGCCUGGAUGCUAACAACUCGGGCUUUCAGUUCGCGGGGGGCCUCCUUAAGGCUCCUUUUACAAAAGAAGAGGUUGAAGGGAGGCGCUACACAUGGAUGCGCAGCGAUUGUUUGUGACAGCGUCACUGCUGGCAGGCCUGGCCUGCCUUUUCGCUUCGUUCUGGGUCUUCCACGUUAUCUACUCGAAAAAGGCCCACAGGAUUUUGACAUUUAUUGAGCACUGCUUUCUGGAUUUUUGCUACACAAAGCCGCAGGUGAAAGCAUUGGAUUUACUCAAUUUUUACAAGAACUAUUGCUAGGCAAAAAAAUUUUCAGAUGCAUAUCCUCAAGAAAGUUUCUGUAAAAAUUAUUUUGCCUAACAAAAGCACUCGUGGGUUCUGUGGCUGGCAGGUUGCCCAAGCCUUGUAGCACAGUACUUGCUUUAAAGGUACACGAAAGAGAAAAUUUAUUUGAGCUUUAUUAAAUCAUUCUUCUACAACACCGAAAAACAACUCCCACCAUGAGAAUUGGCUUGAAAAGCCAGAUAACUUGCAAAAACGAAAACUGGUGUCGCCACCACGACCUUAUAGUUCCUGCACCAGCUUGCUGUGAUAUGGAAUUUGACGGUGUCUGUUCGGGUCUAGCUAAUGUUCUACUGGCCAAUAUUGAUGAAUUCUGUUGUAAAGGUGUCAAAGAAUAUACUUAGUUGAAGUAUGACUCCACACUGAUGU